This 456-nucleotide ribosomal RNA is filed under the name uncultured bacterium. Its description in RNAcentral is "partial 16S ribosomal RNA". It matches the Rfam family "Bacterial small subunit ribosomal RNA", at positions 339 to 795 of the family's 1533-position model. The record is from RNAcentral.
CUACGGGCGGCUGCAGUAAGGAAUAUUGCGCAAUGGACGAAAGUCUGACGCAGCGACGCCGCGUGGGGGAUGAAGGUCUUCGGAUUGUAAACCCCUUUCGGCAGGGAAGAUGGAAUGGGGUAACCCAUUUGGACGGUACCUGCAGAAGCAGCCACGGCUAACUUCGUGCCAGCAGCCGCGGUAAUACGAAGGUGGCAAGCGUUGUUCGGAUUCACUGGGCGUACAGGGAGCGUAGGCGGUUGGGUAAGCCCUCCGUGAAAUCUCCGGGCCUAACCCGGAAAGUGCAGAGGGGACUGCUCAGCUAGAGGAUGGGAGAGGAGCGCGGAAUUCCCGGUGUAGCGGUGAAAUGCGUAGAGAUCGGGAGGAAGGCCAGUGGCGAAGGCGGCGCUCUGGAACAUUUCUGACGCUGAGGCUCGAAAGCGUGGGGAGCAAACAGGAUUAGAUACCCGUGUAGUC